UUUCCCUUUCCCGACAAAAAAGUAGGCCAAACCCCCUUCUUUUGUUUUGCUUCAAUUGGCCAACACACACUUCGACGUCGGUCAGAUAGUGACCGACACAUCUUUUUUUUCCUUCUUAUCCGGCGAUCCCCAACGCGUGACUCCAGCGAAGAACAACGAGCGACGACGGUGCCUCCCUCAUUUGACAACUGCAACCACGAUGCCGCAACCUACCUGCACGCAAACAGAACGUAGGACCUUGAGCUCUGACCAACCCACGAUGUUCGCACCCUUCGACGACGUUGUAGCAGCACUCUUUUUUUUUUUCCUAUUUUGACAAUGUUUGACACCUACCCAUUCCUUUUUGACAUCGAGAUUGAAAUAUCCACUUCCUAACGACUCUGAAUUUGUAGAAUUAAGUCUACUCGGAUACCAAUCAGCAAGGAUUCAGGCUCUUUUAGAUUCGAAAUAGUUUCGGGGCUAUUUGAACACAUUUCAACAAGAGCCCAAAUCUUUUUGGUGAGUUUUAGGUUCUAGAACUUUAUUUAAAGCCUUUCAAAUUAAAUUUAGAUGAUGUAAAUUAGUCAAUAAUUCUUAAGUACUCUUUUAAUGCGAUUUACGCUUGAUGCGAAGUGUUCAAAUUGAGGUUUAAGGUCGAUUUGAGUAAGUUUUCUUGUUUCAAACACUAUUUGAGCUUUCGACUAGGGAUUUGAACAAAGUUGUAACUUUGGAGUCUUGUUUCUAUUAUUUCGGGAACUUUUUGAUUAGUUAGAAACAUUGUGAUGCUUAGGUAAAUAGAAUUCUACCUGUUAGGUCUGUUUGCUUGUGUGUUAGCAUGUUGUGUGAUUUAUUUAUGUUACAUACAUGUAUAAAUAUGACAUGAUAUUCUGAAAUCUGUGAUAUGUUUCUAAUAUGGUUGGACAUGCUUGGAUGCUUGUAGUGUUGUUUUGAAUAUGUAUAUCAUGUUGACAUACUAUUAUGUGGCUCUAUUGAUAUAACUAUGUUACGAGAUGUUUGAAUGUGUACAUAGUGAAUGUUAUGAGCAUAUUAUUUUAUGUAAAUUUUGGCAUAAGACAUGAUUUAGAAGUAUGUAUAGGACUUAUACAAUAUGGUGAGUUAGUGUAGUAAAUAGAUUGAGAACUGUGCUCAUAAAGGAAAAUUGGAUGAGAAGUGAUGUAACCAUUGGAUUUAGAAAAGUGUUGGGCCUUGAUUAUGGUUAAGGAUUGACAAGAGGUUCGAGGCCUUAGGUACGGCCAAGGGUCAAACAUUAAGUAUAGUAACGUCAAGACCUUAAGUACGAUUAAGUGUUGACGAGUAGUUUGAGGCCUUAGGUAUGGCUAAGGGUCAGACAUUAAGUGUUGUAGAGAAAGUUGAGGCCUUAAGUACGGUUAAGGGUCAACAAGUAGUUCGAGGCCUUAGGUAUUGCUAAGGGUUGGACAUCGAGUGUUGUAUAGAAUGUCAAGGCCUUAAGUAUGUUUAAGGGUCGAUGAGAUGUUUGAGCCUUAUAUAAGGCUGAGGGCGAAUGUUGAGUGCUAUAGAGGACAUCGUGGCCUUGAGUAUGGUUAAGGGACAAUGUACAGUUCAAGGUCUCAGGUACGGCUAAGGGUUGAACGAUGAGCACCAUAAAAAGCAAUAGGAUCCUAAAUAUGGUCAAGGGUCAACAUGUCUGGAGGAUUUCAUUUCGAAAGUUGCAACGUCAGGUUGGGUUGUUGAGCGUGAAUGAAGAGUCUGGUUUAAAAUUAUGUAUGCUUUGUAUAUAAUGAUAUAAUUCACGAGUUUAGCAUGAUGUGAUCGAUAUUAUUGUUGAUGUGUAUAAUUCAUUCUCAAGGAUUUCAUUUAGAAAGUUGUGACGUUAGGUUGGGGGGUUUAGCAUGAAUGAAGAGUUCGAUUUAAAAUUAUGUAUGCUUUGUAUAUAAUGAAAUAAUUCAUGAGUUUAGCAUGAUGUGACCGAUAUUACUGUUGAUGUGUAUCUUUGAAAUGUAUGUAUGCUAUUUGGUAGCCCUUCAGGUAUGGGCUAUUUACCAGUACAGUGUACUGACCCUCCACUAGGUUUUGUAAGUAUCGACGAGCAUUGCAACCUUGGUGAUGUGGAGGAGGAAGACUGAAAAAAAUUAGGAUUAUGUCAUUUUUGGUUUAUUUUCGAUAUGAGUUUGUUUCUAGCUUGUGGAACUUGCUAUAGUUUCAAGUUGUUUUAGGUUGUUGGAGUUGAGAACUUCUAAUAGGUCUUGGCUGGUUUAUUAUGUUUGAAUUUUAUAUAAGUUUAAAUUUUUUUAGUUUGGUAAGUUUUCCUAAAUCUUAUUAAGUAGUUAUUUGAGCAUUUUUGUUCUGGAAAUUGGGGCAAUUCUGUUGAGGACAUAUUGUCUUAAAUAUCAUUGGGAGUGGAUUCUUUUGAAACAGGUGCCGAUAAAAAUUUAGUUAUGUUAUGGUAGCAUUGUUGUGCUGCUAAAUUUUUUUUUCCUAAAAUAUAAGUGAGUUUAUGUUAAAUUUAGAUAAUGAUCCCUAGUUUAUUACUGAAAAUUUAGGGACACUAUAGAAGAUGUCUUCCAUAGCUAGCUUGUCAAUCAAUCUAUUAAAUUGUUUUUUUUUAAGGUCUUUAGUUGGCACAUUAACAAUUUGCUUUGAUGUAAAAAGAUAAGGAAUACAUAUUGUUCCUGCUUCAAUCUUCUCUUUAAUAAAAUGUUUAUCAUCCUCGAUAUGCUUAGUUCCAUCAUGUAGAAUUGGAUUAUGGGCAAUAGGAAUGGCAACUUUAUU
Molecule: non-coding RNA, 2730 nt
Organism: Benincasa hispida (wax gourd)
Lineage: Eukaryota; Viridiplantae; Streptophyta; Magnoliopsida; Cucurbitales; Cucurbitaceae
Source: RefSeq, a predicted model, not a curated record